GACGAACGCUGGCGGCGUGCUUAACACAUGCAAGUCGAGCGGUAAGGCCCUUUCGGGGGUACACGAGCGGCGAACGGGUGAGUAACACGUGGGUGACCUGCCCUUAGCUCUGGGAUAAGCCUGGGAAACUGGGUCUAAUACCGGAUAUGACUCCAUGACGCAUGUUGUGGGGUGGAAAGCCUUGUGCGGCUAGGGAUGGGCCCGCGGCCUAUCAGCUUGUUGGUGGGGUGAUGGCCUACCAAGGCGACGACGGGUAGCCGGCCUGAGGGGGCGACCGGCCACACUGGGACUGAGACACGGCCCAGACUCCUACGGGAGGCAGCAGUGGGGAAUCUUGCGCAAUGGGCGAAAGCCUGACGCAGCGACGCCGCGUGAGGGAUGACGGCCU
RNAcentral lists this ribosomal RNA (388 nucleotides) under uncultured bacterium. Its description in RNAcentral is "bacterial SSU rRNA". It matches the Rfam family "Bacterial small subunit ribosomal RNA", at positions 28 to 417 of the family's 1533-position model. The record is from RNAcentral.